GUGCUCGCUUUGGCAGCACAUAUACUAAAAUUGGAAUGAUACAGAGAUUAGCAUGGCCCUGCGCAAGAAUGACAUGCAAAUUCGUGAAGCGUUCCAUAUUUUU
This 103-nucleotide small nuclear RNA is filed under the name Callithrix jacchus (white-tufted-ear marmoset). The record is from RNAcentral. Lineage: Eukaryota; Metazoa; Chordata; Mammalia; Primates; Cebidae.